Molecule: long non-coding RNA, 3340 nt
Filed under: Anas zonorhyncha (Eastern spot-billed duck)
Lineage: Eukaryota; Metazoa; Chordata; Aves; Anseriformes; Anatidae
Description: lncRNA (ENSAZOG00000000061.1)
Source: RNAcentral
GUGAGAGUGUGUUGGUCAGCUGCUGACAGCUCAAACCCAAGAAGUCCUUGCUGCCAUGUUGCAAUUGCUUUGGAGUGACUGGAAGAUAAGAAAAGUGCCCACUGGGAAGGAAGAGCAGGUUCCAAGGUACCAGUAGGAAGGAGACAGCAAGUGAGCUUGCUGGGGAAGAUAAAAUAGGGUUGGAGCUGUUUUGAAAGAUCACUGUGAUUCAAAGUAGGAUGGAGAGGUGAUUAGUGGGGUAGGUGAACAAAGAGAGGGCAGGGAUGGUGCCCACUAGACUAACUGGAGGUGGCAGUAGCUUGAAUGACCCAUGCAGCAGAGAUGGCUAAUGACGUGCCUUGUAUUCUCAAGAGCAAUAGUCAGCAGUACCCAGGGGAAAAUGGUGCUAAAUGACCUGUCAGCUUCAGCCUACUUCCAGGGGAUUCGACUCCAGACUGUCUGCAAGUCGCUCUGAGAAAUGGCACCGACUGGCUCCCCGGCUGCUGCUGUCGGUUGGUCAGAGAUUGCAUCCUGGACCUGAACUCCCUGCUCAAAGCUUCACCUCAACCACUCCAUGGCAUGAAGUUUAUUGUCCACUCUUGACACCUGAGCAAGGUGGGUUGACUGAGCAUCUAGAAACUGUUUUUUGACUUCUGCUGCCUACCACCCCUGUUAAUUGACAGUCUGCCUUCUGCCUUUCUGAUGCCAUGUAGUGCUGCCAAGCCACAUUAACUCGGCCUUACAUCUUCUGGCAUAUGCCUCCCCUGGGGCACAGUGCCUGCUGUUCAGCUCCCAGCACUGACAGAUGAAGGUAAACACUUCAGGGUAAGCAAGUCUAAUGCUCCUUAUUUGCACACCUAUGAAAAAAUCAAAGUCAGCCAUUCAUCUCUCCUGGUCGGUAAACACAGAAACCAACUGGGCUGUGCUGCAUCUGGCUCCCCGGGGGAUUGUUUUCAUAAGACUUCUUGUGAGGAUUUUUGUUGCUGAUUUUGAAAACAUUUUGAGGUUGGAUUGCAAAUGUGAUGUCCUCAUUUACAGCCUUUCCUGAACCAUAAAUCAAGGGAUAUGUAAUUAAAUGAAACAGAUAGUCAAAACCUUGACUAAGCUGUUUAUUGAGCUUUGGAAGGGAAAGAGAUUCUGUGGUUUCACAAAGAUCUAAUAUAAAGAUCCACUUAUAAAAUACAGUUGUUAAGGUUCAGGUAUGCCAGCAUUAAUGCAUGAUAGCAGCUAGCACUGUGCAGCACAUACUAGAGAAACCCAUUUGCCUGGAUGAAACCCGGACUGUAGGACACUUUGCAAUAUGAAAUGAGAACUGUUCAAAUCAAAUAACUUGCUUGGGCCUGUGAAUUAUUUAUUUAGGGCUCUUUUUCCAUAAACCAAAACAUAUUUUGCCCCCCUGACAUUUUUUCUAACAUUACUGGUAAGAGGGGAGAUCUGUAUUAUUUAUUUAUUUAUUUAUUUAUUUACUUAUUUUUAGAAUCUUCUAAGAUGUUUUAAAAUUUAAUUUUAUGACAUAGAUUAGCUUUCAAACAAAGAGCUGCUUCUACCUGAAAACAAGUUUUGAAUGGGAGGAGAAGAAAAAUGUCAAUCUUCUUGCUGGAAAAAAAAAAAAAUCCAAUUAGAUGUUUGUGAGAUAUGUAAGUCAGAACAAUGCCGCACUUUGACAAAAUUUUUGUCAAUUUUUUUGUCAAACUUUUUUGUCAAAAGAUUUUGACAAAAAAAAAAAAAAAAAAAAAAAAAAGGAAAAAAUGAUCAGUAUACCCAAGGAGCAAGAAGAGGACGAGAUUCUUGCUUUUGAGUCCUUAUUUCAGUUAGUUUAUAUCAGCUGGAUAAGUGUCCCUUCUUGCUUUUCAUCUGCCCUCCUCCCUCCCCAGCAUAAAUUGGGCAACCCGAAGCACCACGGUGGUGAUGGUCACUUUCACAAGGACUUGAGUUGAGGGUGGAGUUUACAGCACAAGCUGGGAGGCCGGGCAGUCACCGUCCUGCAUUGCUGAAGUGAUGGGGCAUCUGGGGCUCUGCGCUGUAGCACAGUGCUCUCUGCAGACCAAGUGCCACGGAGCUGGGAGCGCUGAGGCUGGCUUUCUCAGUUUUCCUUGCUGCUGGAAACAAAACACUGCAGACAGACUGACAGGUCUGGAGAGAGCACAGAGUCAUCAAGAGCCAUGUUAGAAGUCAAGCUGGUACACUCCUUAGCGUCUUUUCCAAUGUUACCUGCUGAUGUUUGAUCUGCUGUGUAAUGCAAGUGAAUGCCACUUCUCUAUUUCCCCCAUACAUUUAUGUAUGUAUGUAGAUGUAUGUGUACAUUUGUUAUUAUACAACUAGUCACUUAAGUAAAUACGGAUCUCCAUGCUUAUUCUUACUUCUACCUUCCAAUCCUUUUAACUUUAAUCCAUCCAGCUUUGUGAAAUCCAAGUUACGCUCUUCACCUCCUGCCUUGGUGAUAUAUUGUGAGCAAAAUUCUUUAAAAUUACAUCAGUGCAUCCCAAGAUGGGUAUCUUUCCUUUUGUUUGGUCCCUUAUAUUCUUAGACCACACAUACCCCACUAGAGUUUGUUAGAAUCUGCAUGUAAGCAGUAAGUCACUACUGUUUUCUUCACUGCCAUGUGCUGUUUGCAUCUUCUUGCUUGGCAAAUUAAAAAAAUCUUUAAAGGACCACACAUAGCAGCUGAGGACAUUUCUCCAUGUCCUGGCCUUCUGACAGCAUUGUCAGCUGUGAGCAUGUGAAAAAUCAAACUAACCCUGGUGUCAGGGGAUGUGCUUUCUUCUACAUCUUAGGAAAUCCACUCUUCCUAGCUGCUGGUGCCACUGAGCUCCCCUUUUCUGUAGUUGCUCAAGCCUCUCUGUAGCUAGAGAUGUCCAGAUCUCUUCAAAACUGGGGAGAAGUUUUGAAUAGCUACAGCUUUUACUAAGGGGACAAAUCUGAGCUCCUAUGUAGGUUUGGGGUUCUUUAUUUGUCUAUUUCAGUUGCAAGCAUUUCCAAAUGUAAGAUAACCUGAAAUGGCAUCACCUCUCAGGGUUGGAAUGCUGAUGCCUCAAGAUCAGCUUUUGCAGAAAUUACUGUAGGGAUGUAGUUGGUGUUGGGGUACGAAGAUGGGAUGUGGGCACCCAACGAUUCCUUGCCUAAGCAAUGGCAGCAAUGACAGCAAACUCUUGCUCAGUGUCUUCAGGAGGGACAGGAUUCAGCAGUUGUCUCCAUCACUAAGCUCAAGGUAUGUUUGGAGAGGUUAUAUCUGGUCAUAGGUUCCCUCUCCCAACACUGAUAUGUUGCUGGAGGGUGAAUGGGAAGUUGUUGGGAUUGAGAUUGUAUGGGAAGGUGUGGGAGAGCAGGGGCUAAGUAUGGAAAUUGCAGCAGUGAGUCACAA